AGCAGUAGCCACGGUAAUACAGAGGGUGCAAGCGUUAAUCGGAAUUACUGGGCGUAAAGCGCGCGUAGGUGGUUUGUUAAGUCGGAUGUGAAAUCCCCGGGCUCAACCUGGGAACUGCAUCCGAAACUGGCAAGCUAGAGUAUGGUAGAGGGUAGUGGAAUUUCCUGUGUAGCGGUGAAAUGCGUAGAUAUAGGAAGGAACACCAGUGGCGAAGGCGACUACCUGGACUGAUACUGACACUGAGGUGCGAAAGCGUGGGGAGCAAACAGGAUUAGAUACCCGCGUAGUCCCUGUCUCUUAUAC
This 303-nucleotide ribosomal RNA is filed under the name uncultured bacterium. Its description in RNAcentral is "partial 16S ribosomal RNA". It matches the Rfam family "Bacterial small subunit ribosomal RNA", at positions 507 to 807 of the family's 1533-position model. The record is from RNAcentral.